UAAUAUUUUUUAGAGUAAACUAAAAAUAUUAGCCCUAUGGUUUCACACUUUCUCACUUUAGUACCCUGUGGUUUAAAGUGUAUCAAUUUAGUGCCAUGUGGUUUCAUUUUUAUCUUUUCAUCAACUUCUUCGUUAAUAUUUUGUUAAAUUAUAUACAACAAGUUCAGAUACUCCAUCUAGGUUUAUCGAAUAUUCACUUUAGCACCUUUUAGUUUUAACUUUGUCACUGAUCUAAUGAAAAAAAUUAGUGAAAUUGAUAAUAAAAAGAGAAUAAUGAAACCACAGAGUAGUAAAGUAAGAAAGUGCGAAACCACAUGGGUGGUAUUUGAAGUUUUCAGUAUUUUUUAAUUUAGAAGGCCAAAAGUUCGAACUACUAGAAUAUACAACUAAUUUACUUAAAACUAUAGAUACAGCAGGUAUAGGUCUCGGUUGUCACUUGGUCUAGCCAGCCUCCCGUCACAUCGAACGUGACUCAGCGCAACACCUACCUUCCGUUAUUUCUAACGCGACUCACUCAAAUCUAAUAUUCCGUCAUAAGACAGAAUGCUAGUCUAUUUUAAAAAAAUUAGUUCAUAUUUUUAAGGCUAAGUUACAGAAAACUCAUUUAUAAAUACCAAUUUUUUUACUUUACUUUUCUAACUUUCAGAAAUCUAUAUUUUAUUCCUCAACAUUUCACGUCGUUGCAUUUAGUUUCCCUCCGCCAGGGUUCCAUUACUAUUACGUCAAUUUCUUAUAAUUUAUACUAAAAAUAUUUUUCAAAAUGACAGAAAUAUAUUUAAAAAAUUAUUUUUUUAUAAAAGAAGUAAGAACAAUUUGAUCAUUUCGCCAUUUCUAUUAACAUCGUAUCCCUCUGAAAAUAUUUUUAAAAUUUUAAAAAAAUAAAAUAUAAAAUUUUAAAAAUUAGAAAAAUAAAUAAAUAAAUAAAUACUAACGGAAAAUUUGGGAAAAACUUUAAAAACCCCCCUGUGGUUCCGCACGUUUUCAUUUUAGUACCCUGUGGUUUAAAGUGCAUCAAGUUAGUACCUUGUGGUUUCUCACUUUAUCACUUUAGUACCCUGUGGUUUAAAGUGUAUCAAGUUAGUACUCUGUGGUUUUAUUUUUGUAUUACCAUGUGGUUUUAUUUUUGUAACAAGUUAGUAUCCUGUGUUUUUUAAACCACAUGGUACUAAAGUGAUAAAGUGCGAAACCACAGGAUACUAAAGUGAUAAACUGCGAAACCACAUGUUACUAAGUUGAUACAUUUUAAACUACAGGGUAUUAAAGUGAAAAAGUGCAAAACCAUAGGGUACUAACUUAAUACAUUUUAAACCACAGGGUACUAAAGUGAAAAAAAGUAAAACCACAAGGGGGUAUUUAAAGUUUUUCCGUAAAUUUUUCUUUUAUUUAACUUAUU
RNAcentral lists this long non-coding RNA (1393 nucleotides) under Ananas comosus (pineapple). RNAcentral describes it as "long non-coding RNA (ACOM_LNC031801)". The record is from RNAcentral. Lineage: Eukaryota; Viridiplantae; Streptophyta; Magnoliopsida; Poales; Bromeliaceae.